RNAcentral lists this long non-coding RNA (879 nucleotides) under Theobroma cacao (cacao). Its description in RNAcentral is "long non-coding RNA (TCAC_LNC006490)". The record is from RNAcentral. Lineage: Eukaryota; Viridiplantae; Streptophyta; Magnoliopsida; Malvales; Malvaceae.
UUUGUAAUGUGUCUAGGAGGAGAGCCUUCCGGAAAAGGCAAAGAAGUCGUACCCGACGAGUAGUGAUCGGGGCGCUUAGAAAGCUUUUAGUUUGUACAAACAGUGAGUAAACUUAUUAUUAUUGUAAAUUAUCUAGAGUUUAUUUUUAAAUGCCCUUUAUGUAUUUUAUGAAAUGAAAACGGGAUUUUUGAUGUUUUAGGAAUAAAUGUGAUAAAUAAAAAUAUAUUGUAUUGAUUAUGAAAUUGAGUAAUUGGAGGCUACAAAUUGACUUGAAAAAUAUAUAUUUUCCUAGGAAUGGCUUAUGAGAAAUGAGUAUAUGUGGCUAUAUUUUGUGAAUGCAUUGGGAAAUUUAUGUAAGUUGUUUUACUAUGCAGGCUGGAUAAAUAAAUAAAAGCCACGUUAUACUGUCGAAAUUUUAUUAAAAUUGGUGGGUUAGUCACUACAGUGACGGGUUUCCGUGGACUGCCUAUUAGAGGGGCACGGUAAACCCAGUUAUAUAGUUACUCCGGUUGUAGAGGCGAGGAGGGUAACUCCCGGGGUAGUAUUAGAACUCACUUCACGUCGAACCCCCACGUGAAUGUGUAACUCGGCCAACGCCAAGGAAUGGCUGGUUUUUAAAAAUAAAAAUGUGUUUCACGUGUGAAUAUUUUAACACCCUUGGCGGACUCGGUUAGAUGCCUCGGUCAAGGUAUCCCCGAGGAUUAGUUUUGGCUUGAGCCUUGUUUUAAUAAAAGACAAAAGCCUUAACAACUGUUUUGGUAAAUUACAAAUAUUUUAUGGUUUAAGAAAUAAAUUGGAAACAUUAUGAAAUGGGUUGAAAUUUGUUGUUUAAACUUGCCUCCAUUUUACUCGCCUUUAGAUAUUUAUGAUAAUGUCUGU